Small nucleolar RNA from Coffea eugenioides, 83 nucleotides. RefSeq annotates it as small nucleolar RNA R160. NCBI's taxonomy places the organism in Eukaryota, Viridiplantae, Streptophyta, Magnoliopsida, Gentianales, Rubiaceae. The record is from RefSeq and is a predicted model, not a curated record. The transcript has a single exon.
AGCAAAAAAUGAUGAAAACACCUGGAUCUAAUGGUUAGAUGUGGAUUAUGUUCUAGAAUGGCCUUCAAAGUUCUCUUAUUGCU